RNAcentral lists this ribosomal RNA (832 nucleotides) under uncultured bacterium. Its description in RNAcentral is "bacterial SSU rRNA". It matches the Rfam family "Bacterial small subunit ribosomal RNA", at positions 478 to 1311 of the family's 1533-position model. The record is from RNAcentral.
UCUUNCCAGAAAGGGACGGCUAACUACGUGCCAGCAGCCGCGGUAAUACGUAGGUCCCGAGCGUUGUCCGGAUUUAUUGGGCGUAAAGCGAGCGCAGGCGGUUAGAUAANUCUGAAGUUAAAGGCUGUGGCUUAACCAUAGUACGCUUUGGAAACUGUUUAACUNGAGUGCAGAAGGGGAGAGUGGAAUUCCAUGUGUAGCGGUGAAAUGCGUAGAUAUAUGGAGGAACACCGGUGGCGAAAGCGGCUCUCUGGUCUGUAACUGACGCUGAGGCUCGAAAGCGUGGGGAACAAACAGGAUUAGAUACCCUGGUAGUCCACGCCGUAAACGAUGAGUGCUAGGUGUUGGGUCCUUUCCGGGACUCAGUGCCGCAGCUAACGCAUUAAGCACUCCGCCUGGGGAGUACGACCGCAAGGUUGAAACUCAAAGGAAUUGACGGGGGCCCGCACAAGCGGUGGAGCAUGUGGUUUAAUUCGAAGCAACGCGAAGAACCUUACCAGGUCUUGACAUCCCGGUGCCCGUCCUAGAGAUAGGAUUUUGCUUCGGCACACCGGUGACAGGUGGUGCAUGGUUGUCGUCAGCUCGUGUCGUGAGAUGUUGGGUUAAGUCCCGCAACGAGCGCAACCCUUAUUGUUAGUUGCCAUCAUUUAGUUGGGCACUCUAGCGAGACUGCCGGUAAUAAACCGGAGGAAGGUGGGGAUGACGUCAAAUCAUCAUGCCCCUUAUGACCUGGGCUACACACGCGCUACAAUGGCUGGUACAACGAGUCGCAAGUCGGUGACGGCAAGCUAAUCUCUUAAAGCCAGUCUCAGUUCGGAUUGUAGGCUGCAAC